RNAcentral lists this ribosomal RNA (445 nucleotides) under uncultured Fulvimarina sp. RNAcentral describes it as "bacterial SSU rRNA". It matches the Rfam family "Bacterial small subunit ribosomal RNA", at positions 8 to 498 of the family's 1533-position model. The record is from RNAcentral. Lineage: Bacteria; Pseudomonadati; Pseudomonadota; Alphaproteobacteria; Hyphomicrobiales; Aurantimonadaceae.
AGAGUUUGAUCCUGGCUCAGAACGAACGCUGGCGGCAGGCUUAACACAUGCAAGUCGAACGGUUGUAGCAAUACAGCAGUGGCAGACGGGUGAGUAACACGUGGGAACCUUCCUAGGGGUACGGAACAACUCAGGGAAACUUGAGCUAAUACCGUAUACGUCCGUAAGGAGAAAGAUUUAUCGCCCCUAGACGGGCCCGCGUAGGAUUAGGUAGUUGGUGAGGUAACGGCUCACCAAGCCUACGAUCCUUAGCUGAUCUGAGAGGAUGAUCAGCCACACUGGGACUGAGACACGGCCCAGACUCCUACGGGAGGCAGCAGUGGGGAAUCUUGGACAAUGGGCGCAAGCCUGAUCCAGCCAUGCCGCGUGAGUGAAGAAGGCCUUCGGGUUGUAAAGCUCUUUUACCGGGGACGAUAAUGACGGUACCUGAGAAUAGGUGCAUGCG